This 2581-nucleotide long non-coding RNA is filed under the name Sus scrofa (pig). RNAcentral's name for it is "lncRNA (ENSSSCG00035077482.1, ENSSSCG00055021763.1)". Lineage: Eukaryota; Metazoa; Chordata; Mammalia; Artiodactyla; Suidae. The record is from RNAcentral.
CUUUUUUUUUUUUUUUUUUUUUUUGGUCUUUUUGCCAUUUCUUGGGCCACUCCUGCGGCAUAUGGAGGUUCCCAGGCUAGGGGUCCAAUCGGAGCUGUAGCCACCAGCCUACACAGAGCCACAGCAACGUGGGAUCCGAGCUGCGUCUGCAACCUACAUCACAGCUCACGGCAACGCCAGAUUCUUUAACCCACUGAGCAAGGCCAGGGACCGAUCCCGCAACCUCAUGGUUCUUAGUCGGAUUCGUUAACCACUGCGCCACGACAGGAACUCCUUCCUUGCAAUUCUUAAAAUCCCAGUUGCUCCAAGGAGACCCUGCUGGCCAAGGAGAAGUGAGGUGGCCAAGAACCCCACCCCCACCCCAUCUCUCUAGUCUGAUGUCUGGAACUUUCCUCUCCUACAUCAUACAAAUUCCUCAUGUGGUUAUAAAUACGAGCCACACUUCCACCCAAUGUGUUAAUGCUUUAAGCAGAUUGGUUUUCUUUGCAAGAGAAUCCACUGAUGUUCAUUUUUAUUGGGGUUUCUUUUAUCUCUUUUAAGUUGGUAGGUACGGGAGAGAAAGGACGUUGUCUGCAAAUCACUGUAGCUAAGCUGCCAUGUGUGCGUUGGGGGCGGGGGAACCAGAGCCCCGGCACCGCAGACUAAGUCUGGAUCCCAGGUGGCAACUUUGAAGUGAAAAUUGCAACUUGUAUAUGCUCAGCCUUUUCUCCCGGAGUGAACUAAACUCUGACAUACUCCACAGAGGUCCUACAGCCCAGGGUGGACUCCAGGGGGACGAGAGGACUUGUACAGGUUAAGCGCCCUGCUCACUCCCUCGCUUUACCCAGGGGUGCCAUUAUGAACCCUUUCAACAUGCAGUAUUUGGUGAGGCCUCCCUGGAAAGGGACUUUCUAGCCUAUUUCUGAGCUGUCUGGGGUGGGAGGGGGCGGAGGAAUAGGAACUAGGGGGAUCCUGCGGUUCACUUCUCCCCACUGGUCUCCCCCGUUCAGCAGAUGCGCACGCGGGGGUCUGGAGCCUUAGUGCCAGGCUCGCCUCUCCCGCAUCCGGGGUCAGCCUCACUCUUUUACACUUGCUGAAUACUUACGAUCUUUUAUCCUCUUUUCUCACAGCUGACCUAGGGGACCCCUCAGUUAUUUUAAUUCCUUUUGCUGUACUAAAAUCAAGAAUUGAGUCAGGGUUGGAAAACGGGGGAGAGGUAUACCUCUUUUCUAAAAUCACUCCCCCCUCAACCACAGAAUUGGGUCUGGGAUUAUUCAGAGGCACUGCUAUACAGCCCAUGUGGCAUCAGGCAUGACGUGUCCUCUGUGCUCCCUGAGACCCGGUGUGUGCUGUGUGCCAGCCCCUGUGCCGCGUCUGUGCCGCCGUGGAAUCCCCGUUGGGCAGGGCUUCCCUGAGGAGGUGAGGCUGGGACCAGCCAUCUGAGAUCCUGGAGAGGAGCCUGGACCUAGUCGGGUCAGCAGCAGAAAGAGGCUGUGAGGUGAGCUGGGGGGAGGCGUGGCCAGGAAGGCAGACCUGUGCAGUCCAGGGAUGGGGCCUGGGGACUCUGAGAGCCUGGCCCUAGAGGUGGUCUUGUUACAGAGAAAGCCAGGUCUAGAGCAUGCCUCUUGGGGGUCCUACGCAGGUCUUUACUGCUCUGUCCCGUGAGCCUCUGUUUUCCUCUACCUGCACCUGGAAUGGAGCUCCUCACCUUCCCUACCAGGGCGGGGCAACUGAUUUGAAACGAAAUUGAUGUCCCUCUAUGCUUCAAAGCUAAGUAAACACUGAACUGGACACUGUUCCAAUAAUGCAUCUGGAUUUGUUUUUUCACUUUUUUCAUCAGUUCUUAGCUUAGGUUGAGUAACAGCCACAAAAUUUAUUUGUAAGAGAGCCAGGCUCUUACUCAUCCCAGAGCUUCAUCCAUGCUGUGCCCCCUCCUUCUCUCCUGCUUCCUUUCCCUCUCCUUCUAGCCAGGUCCUACUCCGCCUUCAGAUCUCGACUCCACAUCCUCAGGUAAGCAGUCCCGGACACCUGCCCCCCUGGAUUAGGUCCCCUCCUAGAUAUUCCCACAGCUCUUUAUAUCUCUCCUUUGUAACCCACAAUGUACUGUUAAGUCCUUGUUCACUGUCUAUUUAGAAGUUAGAAAUUACAAGAUAACAGGGACUGUCUCUUCUUCAAUCGCUGCUGCAUCCCAGGUUCUCGGCAUCUAAUUUAUGCUCAAAUAGUUGCCGAAUCAAUAAAUGAAUGAAUGAUGUGCUGUCUAAAUCAGUGACUCAUAAACUUUGCGCUGCAGAAGAAUCAACUGAGAAGCCAACAGGCCGAUCUGUGAUCAGUCCCAGAAUCUACCUUUUCAACAAGAAUCCAGGGGAUUUGGAUGCAGAUCUUCCUAACUUUAGGAAGCAUUCCUCCAGGAUACAGAGAGCGAGGGCAGAGGAUUGAGGUUAAAGAGACAAAAGGGAGCAAAAUGGGAGAACUUAAAUAACAAGUGACGAUUUAUGUAACUGUUCAAACAACCGCUGAACAUCUGAAGGGCUAAAUGACAGACUGUCAGAUUCAUUCCUCAGACAACAAAGAGCCCAGAAUGGUUAGAAGCAGCAGCUACCUG